GGGCCUGUAGCUCAGUACGGUAGAGCGGUGGACGCAACCCAUUGGUCAAGGGUUCAAAUCCCUUCAGGCCCGCCA
This is a transfer RNA of 75 nucleotides. It matches the Rfam family "tRNA". Rfam says of the family: Transfer RNA (tRNA) molecules are approximately 80 nucleotides in length. Their secondary structure includes four short double-helical elements and three loops (D, anti-codon, and T loops).